RNAcentral lists this ribosomal RNA (409 nucleotides) under Fusobacteriota bacterium. RNAcentral describes it as "Fusobacteria bacterium partial 16S ribosomal RNA". It matches the Rfam family "Bacterial small subunit ribosomal RNA", at positions 355 to 776 of the family's 1533-position model. The record is from RNAcentral. Lineage: Bacteria; Fusobacteriati; Fusobacteriota.
UGGGGAAUAUUGCACAAUGGAGGGAACUCUGAUGCAGCAACGCCGCGUGCGGGAUGACGGCCUUCGGGUUGUAAACCGCUUUCAGCCAUGACGAAGCUUUUGUGACGGUAGUGGUAGAAGAAGCACCGGCUAACUACGUGCCAGCAGCCGCGGUGAUACGUAGGGUGCGAGCGUUGUCCGGAAUUAUUGGGCGUAAAGAGCUUGUAGGCGGUUUGUCGCGUCGAUAGUGUAAACACGCAGCUUAACUGUGUGCCUGCUGUCGAUACGGGCUGACUAGAGGAGGGUAGGGGGGAAUGGAAUUCCCGGUGGAGCGGUGGAAUGCGCAGAUAUCGGGAGGAACACCAGUGGCGAAGGCGGUUCUCUGGACCUUUCCUGACGCUGAGAAGCGAAAGCGUGGGUAGCAAGCAGG